RNAcentral lists this ribosomal RNA (440 nucleotides) under uncultured bacterium. RNAcentral describes it as "partial 16S ribosomal RNA". It matches the Rfam family "Bacterial small subunit ribosomal RNA", at positions 338 to 795 of the family's 1533-position model. The record is from RNAcentral.
CCUACGGGAGGCAGCAGUGGGGAAUAUUGCACAAUGGGGGAAACCCUGAUGCAGCGACGCCGCGUGAGUGAAGAAGUAUUUCGGUACGUCAAGCUCUAUCAGCAGGGAAGAAAAUGACGGUACCUGACUAAGAAGCCCCGGCUAACUACGUGCCAGCAGCCGCGGUAAUACGUAGGGGGCACGCGUUAUCCGGAUUUACUGUGUGUAAAGGGAGCGUAGACGGCAGCGCAAGUCUGAAGUGAAAUCACAUGGCUUAACCAUGGAACUGCUUUGGAAACUGAGCAGCUAGAGUGCUGGAGAGGUAAGCGGAAGUCCUAGUGUAGCGGUGAAAUGCGUAGAUAUUAGGAGGAACACCAGUGGCGAAGGCGGCUUACUGGACAGUAACUGACGUUGAGGCUCGAAAGCGUGGGGAGCAAACAGGAUUAGAUACCCGAGUAGUC